UAAAAAUCUGAAGUCAGUUUUGAAGUGGAAACAGUCCCAUGUGUCAUUUCAGAAACACUUGAAAAAUGUUUGUUUCACUUCACUUACGAACUAACGCCGAUAAGAUCAUGUAGUUGGACGACUGGUUAGAGACAUUUCCAUGAACUCAAUCAAGAAAGUGAAACUUUACAGAGGUCGAAUUAUUUGUCAGGACACCAAUGUGAAGCAGACUUCAAAAUCCCCCAAGAAUUAAAUUAAUGUUAGUGUUUAUUAGCAAAUGUCAAACACAAGGCAACAAAUAUUCCUUGUAUACUGUGAUUUCUAAGGGAAUAGUACUGGUUUUCUUGUAUUGCAUUACUGCCCUGUUGUGAAGUUCUUAAAUCAACCCAAUUCAUCCAUCCGUAAUCAUUUUCCAGAAUGGCGCCUAUCCCAACUGUCCAUGGCCAAGAGAAGGACAAAGGGUCACCCGAACAGACUGCCAGUCAAUCGUAGGGCCGACACAAUACAAAAUAAGGCAAAUUAAACAUUUUCAAACUGAAUUGAAAAAUAAGGCUUUUAAACCAAUAAAAACUAAUGAAAAAUAAAUUAUUUUACUUUAAGGUUUAACUUCAAUAUGGAUGCAUCCAUGUUCACCUUUUAGAGGUUAGUUGGAUGGACUUGGAUUCAAGCCCUGGAGGUCAGACUGAAGUUCAUUUAGGAAAUGUUAUGGGUGAAUUUACAUUGACGUUUUUCCAAUUUAGAAAUGGUAAAGUUUUAAACUUUCCAGGAAUUUUUGGAAGGUUUCUCUUUCAUUGAGAAAGGGGGAAAGAUACAUGACAAGUUUAGAUAACAGAAAUAUAAGACAUCAUCUAGAAAACAAAUCUCAGUCUCAAACAUAUGGAGAAGGUCUGGAGAGAAGUACAACAGUAAGAGUCUACAGUCGUCUGUAAAACUCGGUGGAGGCUCUGUCAUGGUUUUGGGCUGAAGACUAAUCCCUGAAGACGACUUAAAGAAAUGACAAAAGACUUACAUUCUACAUUCUUACGUUCUACAUUUUCCACAGGGUGUCUGUUUUCUUUAAUAUCUUCAUAUUUUCUUGGACAUCAAAAUCAAUCAACCCAUAGGCUCAUAGAUUGUGAAACUCAUUUCAGUCACAU
RNAcentral lists this long non-coding RNA (1115 nucleotides) under Oreochromis niloticus (Nile tilapia). RNAcentral describes it as "lncRNA (ENSONIG00000028689.1)". Lineage: Eukaryota; Metazoa; Chordata; Actinopteri; Cichliformes; Cichlidae. The record is from RNAcentral.